Molecule: ribosomal RNA, 516 nt
Filed under: uncultured bacterium
Lineage: Bacteria
Description: bacterial SSU rRNA
Rfam family: Bacterial small subunit ribosomal RNA
Source: RNAcentral
UAGUCCACACCGUAAACGAUGGAUACUAGGUGUCGGGAGUGCUUGUCCUCUCGGUGCCGCAGCUAACGCAUUAAGUAUCCCGCCUGGGGACUACGGUCGCAAGAUUAAAACUCAAAGAAAUUGACGGGGGCCCGCACAAGCGGUGGAGUAUGUGGUUUAAUUCGAUGCAACGCGAACAACCUUACCCAGGCUUGACAUCCCGCGCUACCCAGGGAAACUUGGGGUUCUCUUCGGAGACGCGGUGACAGGUGCUGCAUGGCUGUCGUCAGCUCGUGUCGUGAGAUGUUGGGUUAAAGUCCCGCAACGAGCGCAACCCUUGUCGUUAGUUGCCAGCAUUAAAGUUGGGCACUCUAACGAGACCGCUCGCCGACAAGGCAGAGGAAGGUGGGGAUGACGUCAAGUCCGCAUGGCCCUUACGCCUGGGGCUACACACGUACUACAAUGGCCGGUACAGAGCGAUGCAAUGCCGCGAGGUGGAGCUAAAUCGCACAAAAGCCGGUCUCAGUUCGGAUUGGG